UCAAGCUAGUAAGGGUGCGUGGUGGAUGCCUAGGCGUCGAGAGGCGAUGAAGGACGUGAUAAGCUGCGAUAAGCUUCGGGUAGGCGCACAUAGCCAGAGAUCCGGAGAUUUCCGAAUGGGGAAACCCGCAUGAGAAACCUCAUGCAUCGUAAAGUGAAUACAUAGCUUUAUGAAGGAACACCUAGGGAACUGAAACAUCUAAGUACCUAGAGGAAGAGAAAGAAAAAUCGAUUUUCUUAGUAGCGGCGAGCGAAAAGGAAAGAGCCCAAACCAGAGAUUUAUCUCUGGGGUUGCGGACAGAACAUAACGUGAAAUUAUGAUUAACCGAACACAACUGGAAAGUUGGACCGUAGGAGGUAAUAGUCCUGUAAGUAAAAGUCAUAAUGAUCAGUUCUGCACCAGAGUACCACGAGACACGUGAAACCUUGUGGGAAGCAGGGAGGACCACCUCCCAAGGCUAAAUACUACCUGAUGACCGAUAGUGAAGCAGUACCGUGAGGGAAAGGUGAAAAGAACCCCGGGAGGGGAGUGAAAUAGAACCUGAAACCGUGUGCCUACAACCGGUCAAAGCCCCUUAUGAGGGUGAUGACGUGCUUUUUGUAGAACGAGCCAACGAGUUACGGUAUGUAGCAAGGUUAAGUACUUAAGGUACGGAGCCGAAGGGAAACCGAGUCUUAAUAGGGCGACUAGUUGCAUGCUGUAGACCCGAAACCGGGUGACCUAUCCAUGGCCAGGUUGAAGCGAGGGUAAAACCUCGUGGAGGACCGAACCACGUUGCUGUUGAAAAAGCAUGGGAUGAGCUGUGGAUAGCGGAGAAAUUCCAAUCGAACUCGGAUAUAGCUGGUUCUCCUCGAAAUAGCUUUAGGGCUAGCGUCGUGAAAUGUGAGUACUGGAGGUAGAGCACUGAAUAGGCUAGGGGGCAUAGCGCUUACCGAACCUUAUCAAACUCCGAAUGCCAGAUACUAUCAGCACGGCAGUCAGACUAUGAAAGAUAAGUUCCAUGGUCAAAAGGGAAACAGCCCAGAUCGUCAGCUAAGGUCCCAAAGUGUAAGUUAAGUGGAAAAGGAUGUGGGAUUUCUAAGACAACUAGGAUGUUGGCUUAGAAGCAGCCACUCAUUAAAAGAGUGCGUAAUAGCUCACUAGUCAAGAGAUCCUGCGCCGAAAAUGUCCGGGGCUCAAACUUACCACCGAAGCUACGGGUUCAUACUUUGUAUGAGCGGUAGAGGAGCGUCGUAAUCGGGCUGAAGUCGUACCGUAAGGAGCGGUGGACUGAUUACGAGUGAGAAUGUUGGCAUUAGUAGCGAGAUGUAGGUGAGAAUCCUACAGGCCGAAUAUCUAAGGUUUCCUGAGUAAAGUUUGUCUUCUCAGGGUUAGUCGGGACCUAAGGCGAGGCCGAGAGGCGUAGUCGAUGGACAAUUGGUUGAUAUUCCAAUACCACUAUAAUCGUUAUUAUCGAUGGUGUGACGGAGAAGGAUAGGAUGUGCCAGCUAUUGGAUGCUGGUCUAAGCGUUGAGGGAGUUAGAACAGGCAAAUCCGUUCUAACAAUCCUAGGGCGUGAUGGGGAAGGUUCCACGGAACCGAAGUAUCUGAUUUCAUGCUUCCAAGAAAAGCAUCUAGAAAGAGAAGUAGUGCCCGUACCGCAAACCGACACAGGUAGAUGAGGAGAGAAUCCUAAGGCCGACGGAAGAAUCACAGUUAAGGAACUAGGCAAAUUGACCCCGUAACUUCGGGAGAAGGGGUGCCUACCAUUUGGUAGGCCGCAGAGAAUAGGCACAAGCAACUGUUUAACAAAAACACAGGUCUCUGCUAAAGCGAAAGCUGAUGUAUAGGGGCUGACGCCUGCCCGGUGCUGGAAGGUUAAGGGGAUUGCUUAGCGCAAGCGAAGGCAUGAACUUAAGCCCCAGUAAACGGCGGCCGUAACUAUAACGGUCCUAAGGUAGCGAAAUUCCUUGUCAGGUAAGUUC
This 1964-nucleotide ribosomal RNA is filed under the name activated sludge metagenome. RNAcentral describes it as "bacterial LSU rRNA". It matches the Rfam family "Bacterial large subunit ribosomal RNA", at positions 3 to 1983 of the family's 2925-position model. The record is from RNAcentral.